GUAGGUGAACCUGCGGAAGGAUCAUUAUCCAUCUCAACCAGGUGCGGUCGCGGCCUCCGGGGGUUCUCUCCCGGGUGGUAAGGGUAACACCUUCACGCGCCGCAUUUCUGAACCCUUUUUAUACGAGCACCUUCGUUCUCCUUCGGUGGGGCAACCUGCCGUUGGAACCAAACAAAACCUUUUUUGCAUCUAGCAUUACCUGUUCUGAUACAAAUAAUCGUUACAACUUUUAACAAUGGAUCUCUUGGCUCUG
Molecule: unclassified non-coding RNA, 253 nt
Filed under: rhizosphere metagenome
Description: partial ribosomal RNA internal transcribed spacer region
Source: RNAcentral